CAGCAGCCGCGGUAAUACGUAGGGUGCAAGCGUUAAUCGGAAUUACUGGGCGUAAAGCGUGCGCAGGCGGUUCUAUAAGACAGAUGUGAAAUCCCCGGGCUCAACCUGGGAACUGCAUUUGUGACUGUAGAGCUGGAGUACGGCAGAGGGGGAUGGAAUUCCGCGUGUAGCAGUGAAAUGCGUAGAUAUGCGGAGGAACACCGAUGGCGAAGGCAAUCCCCUGGGCCUGUACUGACGCUCAUGCACGAAAGCGUGGGGAGCGAACAGGAUUAGAUACCCCAGUAGUCCCUGUCUCUUAUAC
Molecule: ribosomal RNA, 301 nt
Filed under: uncultured bacterium
Lineage: Bacteria
Description: partial 16S ribosomal RNA
Rfam family: Bacterial small subunit ribosomal RNA
Source: RNAcentral